UACGUAGGGCGCAAGCGUUGUCCGGAUUUAUUGGGUUUAAAGGGUGCGUAGGCGGCUCUUUAAGUCAGUGGUGAAAGCCGACAGCUUAACUGUCGAAAUGCCAUUGAUACUGGGGAGCUUGAGUACAGUAGAGGUAGGCGGAAUUAAUGGUGUAGCGGUGAAAUGCAUAGAUACCAUUAAGAACACCGAUUGCGAAGGCAGCUUACUAUAGUGUAACUGACGCUGAGGCACGAAAGAUGUGGGGAGUCAAACAGG
Molecule: ribosomal RNA, 255 nt
Filed under: uncultured bacterium
Lineage: Bacteria
Description: partial 16S ribosomal RNA
Rfam family: Bacterial small subunit ribosomal RNA
Source: RNAcentral